This 372-nucleotide ribosomal RNA is filed under the name uncultured organism. RNAcentral's name for it is "partial 16S ribosomal RNA". It matches the Rfam family "Bacterial small subunit ribosomal RNA", at positions 527 to 896 of the family's 1533-position model. The record is from RNAcentral.
GUAGGUGGCAAGCGUUGUCCGGAAUUAUUGGGCGUAAAGCGCGCGCAGGCGGUUCUUUAAGUCUGAUGUGAAAGCCCACGGCUCAACCGUGGAGGGUCAUUGGAAACUGGAGAACUUGAGUACAGAAGAGGAAAGCGGAAUUCCACGUGUAGCGGUGAAAUGCGUAGAGAUGUGGAGGAACACCAGUGGCGAAGGCGGCUUUCUGGUCUGUAACUGACGCUGAGACGCGAAAGCGUGGGGAGCAAACAGGGAUUAGAUACCCUGGUAGUCCACGCCGUAAACGAUGAGUGCUAAUGUUAGGGGGUUUCCGCCCCCUUAGUGCUGCAGCUAACGCAUUAAGCACUCCGCCUGGGGAGUACGGCCGCAAGGCUG